AUUUUAUUGAAUCAGCGUAGGUCUGUGUGGAGAAAAAGCUUUCCUUACAUACGUGGCAGGCUUCCACACGUCUGAAGACACAGAGGCGAACAGUGGAAGUAGUGUAAGGAGAGAAAAAGGAAAAUUCAGCACAGACAACUAUGGAAUGCCAAAGGAGGUGAUGACACUGAAAGGAACCAACUCAAGACAACUAAGGCCAAAUAACAUAACCAUUAAAGAACCCUCCCACAAGAGGAGGGUGAGCAUCUUGGACCGGAAUGUACAUCCCAUCUACUUGCUAAAGUCUGAGAUACAGAAAGUUUCCAUCCGUGCCUUCAUGACCAAGCCACUUUGAAACACAUCAAAUACAAGUAAGUGUAAUUGAGCAGCUGGC
This 373-nucleotide long non-coding RNA is filed under the name Ornithorhynchus anatinus (platypus). Its description in RNAcentral is "lncRNA (ENSOANG00000043720.1)". The record is from RNAcentral. Lineage: Eukaryota; Metazoa; Chordata; Mammalia; Monotremata; Ornithorhynchidae.